This 252-nucleotide ribosomal RNA is filed under the name uncultured Gardnerella sp. RNAcentral describes it as "partial 16S ribosomal RNA". It matches the Rfam family "Bacterial small subunit ribosomal RNA", at positions 103 to 354 of the family's 1533-position model. The record is from RNAcentral. Lineage: Bacteria; Bacillati; Actinomycetota; Actinomycetes; Bifidobacteriales; Bifidobacteriaceae.
CGGGUGAGUAAUGCGUGACCAACCUGCCCCAUGCUCCAGAAUAGCUCUUGGAAACGGGUGGUAAUGCUGGAUGCUCCAACUUGACGCAUGUCUUGUUGGGAAAGUGUUUAGUUGCAUGGGAUGGGGUCGCGUCCUAUCAGCUUGUAGGCGGGGUAAUGGCCCACCUAGGCUUCGACGGGUAGCCGGCCUGAGAGGGCGGACGGCCACAUUGGGACUGAGAUACGGCCCAGACUCCUACGGGAGGCAGCAGGC